GCGGGCUACCUACAAGAAAUUAUCAUGAAUCUGGAGAAUAAAGAGGGAGAGAGUUCCAGGAUUCAUCUUUCUUCAAAUAUUGUUCCACAAGUAACUAUAGCCUUCGUGGAUUUAUCCUCCUCAACACAAUUUUUCAUCCAAACGUGAUAUAAAAUAACCUUAAAAAACAAGGCAGAACUCAACAAUUUUUUUUGUUUUCCUUCUUUU
RNAcentral lists this unclassified non-coding RNA (207 nucleotides) under Hevea brasiliensis (rubber tree). The record is from RNAcentral. Lineage: Eukaryota; Viridiplantae; Streptophyta; Magnoliopsida; Malpighiales; Euphorbiaceae.